CCUACGGGAGGCAGCAGUGAGGAAUAUUGGUCAAUGGGCGCGAGCCUGAACCAGCCAAGUCGCGUGAGGGAAGACGGCCCUACGGGUUGUAAACCUCUUUUGCCGGGGAGCAACGGGCGCCACGUGUGGCGCCACUGAGAGUACACGGAGAAAAAGCAUCCGCUAACUCCGGGCCAGAAGCCGCGGUAAUACGGAGGAUGCGAGCGUUAUCCGGAUUUAGUGGGUUUAAAGGGUGCGGAGGCGGAGCGGUAAGUCAGAGGUCAAAUUGAGGGGCUCAACCCCUUCCCGCCAUUGAAACUGGCGCUCUUGAGUGGAAGAGAAGUAUGCGGAAUGCGUGGUGUAGCGGUGAAAUGCAUAGAUAUCACGCAGAACCCCGAUUGCGAAGGCAGCAUGCCGGCUUCCGACUGACGCUGAAGCACGAAAGCGUGGGGAUCGAACAGGAUUAGAUACCCGGGUAGUC
This 460-nucleotide ribosomal RNA is filed under the name uncultured bacterium. Its description in RNAcentral is "partial 16S ribosomal RNA". It matches the Rfam family "Bacterial small subunit ribosomal RNA", at positions 338 to 795 of the family's 1533-position model. The record is from RNAcentral.